This 253-nucleotide ribosomal RNA is filed under the name uncultured bacterium. RNAcentral describes it as "partial 16S ribosomal RNA". It matches the Rfam family "Bacterial small subunit ribosomal RNA", at positions 524 to 776 of the family's 1533-position model. The record is from RNAcentral.
GACAGAGGAUGCAAGCGUUAUCCGGAAUGAUUGGGCGUAAAGCGUCUGUAGGUGGCUUUUCAAGUCCGCCGUCAAAUCCCAGGGAUCAACCCUGGACAGGCGGUGGAAACUACCAAGCUGGAGUACGGUAGGGGCAGAGGGAAUUUCCGGUGGAGCGGUGAAAUGCAUUGAGAUCGGAAAGAACACCAACGGCGAAAGCACUCUGUCGGGCCGACACUAACACUGAGAGACGAAAGCUAGGGGAGCAAAUGGG